GCCAGCAGCCGCGGUAAUACGGGAGGGUGCCAGCGUUAUCCGGAUUUAUUAGUUUAAAGGGUGUGCAGGCGGACGAUCAAGUCGGCUGUGAAAUUUACGGGCUCAACCCGUGACUUGCGGCCGAAACUGUUUGUCUUGAGUGAAGAUGCUGCAGGCGGAAUGUGUGGUGUAGCGGUGAAAUGCAUAGAUACCACCCAGAACCCCGAUUGCGAAGGCAGCUUGCAAAACUUCCACUGACGCUGAUGCACGAAAGCGUGGGUAGCGAACAGGAUUAGAUACCCUGGUAGUCCACGCAGUAAACGAUGACCACUGGCUCUUGGCAAUAGACAGUCAGGGGCUGAGCGAAAGCAUUAAGUGGUCCACCUGGGGAUUACGUUCGCAAGAAUGAAACUCAAAGGAAUUGACGGGGGCCCGCACAAGCGGAGGAACAUGUGGUUUAAUUCGAUGAUACGCGAGGAACCUUACCUGGGCUUGAACUGUCAGCGACGCUUGGGGAAACCUAAGUUCCCUUCUGGGCGCUGUCAGAGGUGCUGCAUGGCUGUCGUCAGCUCGUGCCGUGAGGUGUCGGGUUAAGUCCCAUAACGAGCGCAACCCCUAUUGCUAGUUACCAGCACGUCAAGGUGGGGACUCUAGUGAGACUGCCACCGUAAGGUGAGAGGAAGGCGGGGAUGACGUCAAGUCAGCACGGCCCUUAUGUCCAGGGCUACACACGUGUUACAAUGGCCGGUACAACGGGCAGCCAAGGGGCGACCCUGCGCCAAUCCCCAAAGCCGGCCUUAGUUCGGAUCGCAGUCUGCAACCCGACUGCGUGAAGGUGGAUUCGCUAGUAAUCGCGCAUCAGCCAUGGCGCGGUGAAUACGUUCCCGGGCAUUGUACACACCGCCCGUCAAGCCAUGGAAGUUGGGGUUAC
This 910-nucleotide ribosomal RNA is filed under the name uncultured organism. Its description in RNAcentral is "bacterial SSU rRNA". It matches the Rfam family "Bacterial small subunit ribosomal RNA", at positions 507 to 1420 of the family's 1533-position model. The record is from RNAcentral.